CACGGAGUUAGCCGGAGCUUACAAAUGGUACCGUCAUCACGAACGGUAUUAGCGCUCGUUCAUUCUUCCCAUUCUUGCGAAGUUUACAUCCCGAGGGAUUUCAUCCUUCACGCGGCGUUGCUGGGUCAGGCUUUCGCCCAUUGCCCAAAAUUCCCGA
RNAcentral lists this ribosomal RNA (157 nucleotides) under uncultured bacterium. RNAcentral describes it as "partial 16S ribosomal RNA". The record is from RNAcentral.